RNAcentral lists this ribosomal RNA (491 nucleotides) under uncultured bacterium. RNAcentral describes it as "partial 16S ribosomal RNA". It matches the Rfam family "Bacterial small subunit ribosomal RNA", at positions 29 to 506 of the family's 1533-position model. The record is from RNAcentral.
AGUGAACGCUGGCGGCAGGCCUAACACAUGCAAGUCGAACGGACGCACAGUGAGAUCUUGCUCCUACGGGUGGCGAGUGGCGGACGGGUGAGGAGUACAUCGGCUUCUUCUUUGUCGUGGGUGAUAACGUAGGGACACUUAUGCUAAUGCCGCAUACGACCUACGGGUGAAAUCAGGGGAUCUUCGGAGCUUGCCCGAUUGAAUGAGCCGAUGUCGGAUUGGCUAGUUGGCGGGGUAAGGGACCACCAAGGCGAGGAACCGUAGCUGGCCUGAGAGGUUGUUCGGCCCCACGGAACCGGGGACACGGUCCAGACCCCUACGGGGGCCAGCGGUGGGAAUUAUUGGACAUUGGGCGCAAGCCUGCUCCAGCCAGACCGCGUGGGUGAAGAAGGCCUUCGGGUUGUAAAGCCCUUUUGUUGGGAAAGAAAAGCGGCAGGUUAAUACCCCGCUGUUCUGACGGUACCCAAAGAAUAACCACCGCCAACUUUCUU